Molecule: ribosomal RNA, 306 nt
Filed under: uncultured bacterium
Lineage: Bacteria
Description: partial 16S ribosomal RNA
Rfam family: Bacterial small subunit ribosomal RNA
Source: RNAcentral
GACAGCAGCCGCCGCGGUAAUACAGAGGGUGCGAGCGUUAAUCGGAUUUACUGGGCGUAAAGCGUGCGUAGGCGGCUUCUUAAGUCGGAUGUGAAAUCCCUGAGCUUAACUUAGGAAUUGCAUUCGAUACUGGGAAGCUAGAGUAUGGGAGAGGAUGGUAGAAUUCCAGGUGUAGCGGUGAAAUUCGUAGAGAUCUGGAGGAAUACCGAUGGCGAAGGCAGCCAUCUGGCCUAAUACUGACGCUGAGGUACGAAAGCAUGGGGAGCAAACAGGAUUAGAUACCCGGGUAGUCCCUGUCUCUUAUAA